UGGUAGUAAAACUUUUCUUUAAAACCCCCAUAGUUUGGCGGCGUUAUCUCUUACCAAAGGAACUCGUUUUUUAAUCGAUAACACUCGUUAAAUUUUACUUGUCUUCACCGCAACUUAUAUACCGCCGUUCCAAAAUUAACUUUAUAAACUCUAAUUAAAUAUAACUCUUAGUAUAUCAGGUCAAGGUGUAGCUUAUACUCAAGCCAAAAUAAGUUACUAUAAAGUCUAUUUAUGAACGUCUCGAUUUAAACCCAACCAAAACCGGAUUUGAAUUCAAUAUUUUACCACUAUUUUAAUAUGAAUUAGCUAAUAUACGUGC
Molecule: ribosomal RNA, 319 nt
Filed under: Harpactea hombergii
Lineage: Eukaryota; Metazoa; Arthropoda; Arachnida; Araneae; Dysderidae
Description: partial 12S ribosomal RNA
Source: RNAcentral